Molecule: RNA transcript, 4434 nt
Organism: Pecten maximus
Lineage: Eukaryota; Metazoa; Mollusca; Bivalvia; Pectinida; Pectinidae
Gene name: guanine nucleotide-binding protein-like 1
Exons: 14
Source: RefSeq, a predicted model, not a curated record
UACAAACAGCGGAAAUCGGUAACCACACGUGGAGCAGAGAACGUUCCUAAAGUCCAACAGAUAAUCCUCUACGAUUUUGAUGCCUCGAAAGAAGCCUUUCAGUUCAAAGCAAAAGAAGUUUCAAUUGCAAGAUAAGCGUCAAAGAAAGAAGGAAUCCACUCAUGAUGAAAAUGAUCCUGAGUAUGAAGAGCUGGAGGUCAAUGUCAAAGGUCAGGAUCCAUCACAGCCUCAGAAAAGUGUGAGGAAAGGCAAAUCAGGAGUUGACAGGAGAAAUAACCCUAACAGAUAUCGUCUGCAGUUUUUUAAAGAGAGUAAUGAAGAGAUUGAUAGAAGAAAGAAACUAGCGAGACGAUCUUUACGUCGUAUCCCUGAGGAUGCGCUGGAGGUGAAUAUCGACCAGGUAUACCAGCCUGGGUCUGUCCUUGACCUCCCCAGACGACCCCCGUGGGACUACUCUCUAACUAAAGCCCAGUUAGAGGCCAGUGAACAGAAGUACUUUCAGGACUACACAGAGGCAAUCUUUGACAAGUUCCCUCCGGACCAACUGAGCUACUUUGAGUUGAAUUUAGAAACUUGGCGGCAGUUAUGGCGAGUGUUAGAGAUGUCAGAUGUUCUGCUGCUUAUUCUGGACAUCCGGUAUCCGGUUUUACACAUGUCGCCAGCCUUGUACCAUACGGUGACACACGAACUUGGCAAGUCUAUCAUCAUCAUCCUAAACAAAAUCGACCUGGCACCACCCUCUCUGGUCAUUGCAUGGAAACAUUUCUUACAGGAAAAAUACAAAAAAGUCCACAUAGUCUUGUUUACAUCCUAUCCAAACGAGGCUCUGGCAGAGGGAGGUGAUGAAAGAAAAGCUAAAAUGAGACGUAAGCGUGGAGGCGGAGCCUGGACCAGGGCUAUGGGUCAGGGUCAGCUACUGGAGGUGUGUAAGAAUAUUGUCGGUGACAAAGUUGAUCUGAGUAGUUGGCAUGACAAACUUGUCUCAGCUCCUGAUGCUGUGAAGGAGGAAGAUGUAACAGACAGUUCAGCUGGGCUACAGGACACUUCCUACAAACAACGGAGUACAACAACUCGGUUCCAAAAUGGAGUCCUCACCAUCGGUUGUGUUGGCUAUCCUAAUGUGGGUAAAUCUUCCCUGUUGAAUGGUCUGGUGGGUAAAAAAGUGGUCAGUGUGUCUAGAACCCCUGGGCAUACCAAACAUUUUCAGACCAUCUUUCUGACCCAAACAGUGAAGUUGUGUGACUGUCCAGGUCUAGUGUUUCCUUCACUCAUCGACAAAUCUCUACAGAUACUGGCCGGUAUUUAUCCCAUCGCACAAGUACGGGAACCAUACUCUCCUUUGGGCUUUCUGGCAGAGAGGGUAGACAUUGUGAAACAACUUCGUCUCAAACAUCCAGAUUGUCAGGCAUCGUCCCAAGUUUGGAGUGCAUAUGAUAUUUGUCAAGCCUGGGCUGAAAAACGUGGAUUCCUUACAGCAAAGACAGGCAGACCUGAUCUAUACAGGGCGGCGAAUAAUCUGCUGAGAAUGGGACUAGAUGGUCGUCUGUGUUUGUGUCUCAGACCCCCAGGGUACACUGACAACAAAGGCCACUGGGAACAACAUCAAGAAACACUCCAACUUAUCAGUGAUUUGGAGUGUUAUACAGUCAAUGAAGACAUGUCUGAUGGAGAAGACGAGUAUAGCGAUGAGGAAUUAGCACAUUUAGCUCGGGAAAAUGAUUCAGGUGAUGAAGAAGAAAGUGAGGAAGAAGAUGAGGAAAAUGAGGAUGGAACCAAAUAUGUAUCCAAUAAUCCUUUUGCAUUGUUAGAUGAUGGUGACUGAAGUUUCACUCUGGGAUGACCACUGGCUGAUAUUGUGAGGGAAAAUGAACCCUUUGUUUUAAUGAAUCUUAUCUGUAUUAGGCAAGUUUUUCUUCAGGUAAAGUUGGCUCAGUCAUUAUGUAUUUUCCAUUGAUACAUUUUAAGUUACAUGUACAUUUCAGUUGUUACUUAUCAAUAUUGGAGAUUAAUGAAUCCAAAUAGAAUGACUUAUGUACAACAUGUAACAACUAUUCAAAACUUCCAUGCAGUGUAUAACAAGAAUGUACACACAUGUAUAUGAUAUAUAUCAAGGUACCAUGUAACAAUAUCAACUUUGUUUAGUACUGAACCCAAAUUCUUCCAAUGUUUGCAUUUUUUCCAAUUAAACGAAACCCUUUCGUUAAACCCCAUUUAAUAGAGUAAAAAGAGAUAGAAGAUUGAAGUAGCUAUAUCCUGAUGUGACAGCUAUAGGGAGGUACAUGUAGGGGGUUGGCCCUGUUGUGACGGCUAUAGGGAGGUACAUGUAGGGGGUUGGCCCUGUUUUGACAGCUAUAGGAAUGUAAUAUAUUGAUGUGUUACCAUCCUCUGUCUAUAAACAAUGUUACAUGUGGGUGUGUUACAUUUACCAACCUCUGUCUAUAAACAAUGUUACAUAUGGAGUGUGUUACAUUUACCAACCUCUGUCUAUAAACAAUGUUACAUAUGGAGUGUGUUACAUUUACCAACCUCUGUCUAUAAACAAUGUUACAUAUGGAGAGUGUUACCAACCUCUGUCUAUAAACAAUGUUACAUGUGGGUGUGUUACAUUUACCAACCUCUGUCUAUAAACAAUGUUACAUAUGGAGUGUGUUACAUUUACCAACCUCUGUCUAUAAACAAUGUUACAUAUGGAGAGUGUUACCAACCUCUGUCUAUAAACAAUGUUACAUGUGGGUGUGUUACAUUUACCAACCUCUGUCUAUAAACAAUGUUACAUAUGGAGUGUGUUACAUUUACCAACCUCUGUCUAUAAACAAUGUUACAUAUGGAGUGUGUUACAUUUACCAACCUCUGUCUAUAAACAAUGUUACAUAUGGAGUGUGUUACCAACCUCUGUCUAUAAACAAUGUUACAUAUGGAUGUGUUACAUUUACCAACCUCUGUCUAUAAACAAUGUUACAUAUGGAGUGUGUUACAUUUACCAACCUCUGUCUAUAAACAAUGUUACAUAUGGAGUGUGUUACAUUUACCAACCUCUGUCUAUAAACAAUGUUACAUAUGGAGUGUGUUACAUUUACCAACCUCUGUCUAUAAACAAUGUUACAUAUGGAGUGUGUUACCAACCUCUGUCUAUAAACAAUGUUACAUAUGGAGUGUGUUACCAUCCUCUGUCUAUAAAUAAUGUUACAUAUGGAGUGUGUUACAUUUACCAACCUCUGUCUAUAAACAAUGUUACAUAUGGAGUGUGUUACAUUUACCAACCUCUGUCUAUAAACAAUGUUACAUAUGGAGAGUGUUACCAACCUCUGUCUAUAAACAAUGUUACAUAUGGAGUGUGUUACCAACCUCUGUCUAUAAACAAUGUUACAUAUGGAGUGUGUUACAUUUACCAACCUCUGUCUAUAAACCAUGUUACAUAUGGAGUGUGUUACCAACCUCUGUCUAUAAACAAUGUUACAUAUGGAGUGUGUUACAUUUACCAACCUCUGUCUAUAAACAAUGUUACAUAUGGAGUGUGUUACAUUUACCAACCUCUGUCUAUAAACAAUGUUACAUAUGGGUGUGUUACCAUCCUCUGUCUAUAAACAAUGUUACAUAUGGAGUGUGUUACAUUUACCAUCCUCUGUCUAUAAACAAUGUUACAUGUGGGUGUGUUACCAACCUCUGUCUAUAAACAAUGUUACAUAUGGAGUGUGUUACCAACCUCUGUCUAUAAACAAUGUUACAUAUGGAGUGUGUUACAUUUACCAACCUCUGUCUAUAAACAAUGUUACAUAUGGAGUGUGUUACAUUUACCAACCUCUGUCUAUAAACAAUGUUACAUGUGGAGUGUGUUACCAACCUCUGUCUAUAAACAAUGUUACAUAUGGAGUGUGUUACAUUUACCAACCUCUGUCUAUAAACAAUGUUACAUAUGGAGUGUGUUACAUUUACCAACCUCUGUCUAUAAACAAUGUUACAUAUGGAGUGUGUUACAUUUACCAACCUCUGUCUAUAAACAAUGUUACAUAUGGAGUGUGUUACAUUUACCAACCUCUGUCUAUAAACAAUGUUACAUAUGGAGUGUGUUACAUUUACCAACCUCUGUCUAUAAACAAUGUUACAUAUGGAGUGUGUUACAUUUACCAACCUCUGUCUAUAAACAAUGUUACAUGUGGAGUGUGUUACCAACCUCUGUCUAUAAACAAUGUUACAUAUGGAGUGUGUUACAUUUACCAACCUCUGUCUAUAAACAAUGUUACAUAUGGAGAGUGUUACCAACCUCUGUCUAUAAACAAUGUUACAUGUGGGUGUGUUACAUUUACCAACCUCUGUCUAUAAACAAUGUUACAUAUGGAGUGUGUUACAUUUACCAACCUCUGUCUAUAAACAAUGUUACAUAUGGAGUGUGUUACCAUUCUGUUAUUUGUUAUAGAAAUAAAACAUCUGGUUUUA